CAGUAGCCGCGGGAAUACGUAGGUGGCAAGCGUUGUCCGGAAUUAUUGGGCGUAAAGGGCUCGCAGGCGGUUUCUUAAGUCUGAUGUGAAAGCCCCCGGCUCAACCGGGGAGGGUCAUUGGAAACUGGGAGACUUGAGUGCAGAAGAGGAGAGUGGAAUUCCACGUGUAGCGGUGAAAUGCGUAGAGAUGUGGAGGAACACCAGUGGCGAAGGCGACUCUCUGGUCUGUAACUGACGCUGAGGAGCGAAAGCGUGGGGAGCGAACAGGAUUAGAUACCCCAGUAGUCCCUGUCUCUUAUAC
RNAcentral lists this ribosomal RNA (301 nucleotides) under uncultured bacterium. Its description in RNAcentral is "partial 16S ribosomal RNA". It matches the Rfam family "Bacterial small subunit ribosomal RNA", at positions 509 to 807 of the family's 1533-position model. The record is from RNAcentral.